This 488-nucleotide ribosomal RNA is filed under the name uncultured bacterium. RNAcentral's name for it is "bacterial SSU rRNA". It matches the Rfam family "Bacterial small subunit ribosomal RNA", at positions 30 to 507 of the family's 1533-position model. The record is from RNAcentral.
AUUGAACGCUGGCGGCAUGCUUUUACACAUGCAAGUCGAACGGCAGCGGCGGGGGCAACCCUGGCGGCGAGUGGCGAACGGGUGAGUUAAUGUAUCGGAACGUAUCCUGUAAUGGGGGAUAACCAGUCGAAAGAUUGGGUAAUACCGCAUACGCACGAGAGUGGAAAGUAGGGGAUCGCAAGACCUUACGUUAUAGGAGCGGCCGAUAUCUGAUUAGCUAGUUGGUGGGGUAAAGGCCUACCAAGGCGACGAUCAGUAGCUGGUCUGAGAGGACGACCAGCCACACUGGGACUGAGACACGGCCCAGACUCCUACGGGAGGCAGCAGUGGGGAAUUUUGGACAAUGGGCGAAAGCCUGAUCCAGCCAUGCCGCGUGCAGGAAGAAGGCCUUCGGGUUGUAAACUGCUUUAGUCUAGGAAAAAGGGGUGCGAGGUUAAUACCCUCGUGCUUUGAUGGUACUGGAAGAAUAAGCACCGGCUAACUACGUG